Non-coding RNA from Pterulicium gracile, 106 nucleotides. The record is from the annotation of a GenBank genome assembly. Lineage: Eukaryota; Fungi; Basidiomycota; Agaricomycetes; Agaricales; Pterulaceae.
GGGUGCCUGGCGCAAUGGUUAGCGCAUUCGGCUUCGACCACCUUGGCGGAUCAGCUCGCUGAUCUACGAUACCGAAAGGCUGCAAGUUCGAGUCUUGCGGUGCUCA